RNAcentral lists this ribosomal RNA (403 nucleotides) under bacterium. RNAcentral describes it as "partial 16S ribosomal RNA". It matches the Rfam family "Bacterial small subunit ribosomal RNA", at positions 355 to 776 of the family's 1533-position model. The record is from RNAcentral.
UGGGGAAUAUUGCACAAUGGAGGGAACUCUGAUGCAGCGACGCCGCGUGAACGAAGAAGGCUUUCGAGUCGUAAAGUUCUUUUAUAUGGGAAGAUAAUGACGGUACCAUAAGAAGAAGCCCCGGCUAACUACGUGCCAGCAGCCGCGGUAAUACGUAGGGGGCUAGCGUUGUCCGGAAUCACUGGGCGUAAAGGGUUCGCAGGCGGAAAUGCAAGUCAGGUGUAAAAGGCAGUAGCUUAACUACAGUAAGCAUUUGAAACUGCAUAUCUUGAGAAGAGUAGAGGUAAGUGGAAUUUUUAGUGUAGCGGUGAAAUGCGUAGAUAUUAAAAAGAAUACCGGUGGCGAAGGCGACUUACUGGGCUCAUUCUGACGCUGAGGAACGAAAGCGUGGGUAGCAAACAGG